RNAcentral lists this ribosomal RNA (253 nucleotides) under uncultured bacterium. RNAcentral's name for it is "partial 16S ribosomal RNA". It matches the Rfam family "Bacterial small subunit ribosomal RNA", at positions 524 to 776 of the family's 1533-position model. The record is from RNAcentral.
UACGAAGGGGGCGAGCGUUGUUCGGAUUUACUGGGCGUAAAGGGCGCGCAGGCGGCUCAUUUUGUCAGGCGUGAAAGCCCCGGGCUUAACCUGGGAACUGCGCUUGAGACGGGUGGGCUAGAGAUCGGGAGAGGAGAGUGGAAUUCCAGGUGUAGCGGUGAAAUGCGUAGAGAUCUGGAGGAAUACCGAUGGCGAAGGCAGCCUUCUGGCCAAAUACUGACGCUGAGGUGCGAAAGCAUGGGGAGCAAACAGG